Molecule: ribosomal RNA, 433 nt
Filed under: uncultured bacterium
Lineage: Bacteria
Description: partial 16S ribosomal RNA
Rfam family: Bacterial small subunit ribosomal RNA
Source: RNAcentral
AGCGAACGCUGGCGGCAGGCCUAACACAUGCAAGUCGAACGAACUCUUCGGAGUUAGUGGCGGACGGGUGAGUAACACGUGGGAACGUGCCUUUAGGUUCGGAAUAACUCAGGGAAACUUGUGCUAAUACCGAAUGUGCCCUUCGGAGGAAAGAUUUAUCGCCUUUAGAGCGGCCCGCGUCUGAUUAGCUAGUUGGGGAGGUAAAGGCUCACCAAGGCGACGAUCAGUAGCUGGUCUGAGAGGAUGAUCAGCCACAUUGGGACUGAGACCCGACCCAAACUCCUACGGGAGGCAGCAGUGGGGAAUCUUGCGCAAUGGGCGAAAGCCUGACGCAGCCAUGCCGCGUGAAUGAUGAAGGUCUUAGGAUUGUAAAAUUCUUUCACCGGGGACGAUAAUGACGGUACCCGGAGAAGAAGCCCCGGCUAACUUCGUG